GGAAGUAGAACAUUUAUGUCAACACCGGUUUCGUAUUUUCACGUGAAAACGGCCGAAACUGAGAGGUUAUCAACAAAUUAUAAGUUUACGGGUACCAUGAGGAUUUUUCAUGCAUUUAAACGAAAGAAGUACAAGCGAACAGAUGACACAUUAAAGUGGCUGCAGAAGCUUGAAAAGUGCAGGGGCAGUCAAAACAGUGGGAUAAUACUGCUAUGGUGUCCCAACAUGUCUAGUCAGGUUGACAGAAGUGAAAGAUGGUCUGAUGGUACAAUGAUGUACAAAUGAUACUCUUUAACAAGUUUAACAUGUCAAGGUGUAAAAUGUUCUGUGGAUUCAUAUGAUGAGAAUGCCAGUGUUGAUCUGUAUGACUUAAUUAAACACAGAUAUUGAUACCUUCAGAUAUAUACCUGUGAAAUUUCAGUGUCACCGUUCAGCUAUUGUUCAAGAUCAGUGUCUGCAGCUUGCACAGUUUAGUAUAGAGGAGCCUUCUGAAUCAACUUUGUUACAUAUUUGCUGUUAUUGUAGGACACACAUGUAGAGAGCAGCAAGUCCUGUCCAGCCGUGCAUGUAAUUGUGAUUCAGAAACUUUGAGAAUAUGUUAACAUUACACUGUUAUAAUUUUCAAAAUACUGUGUCUUGUAGUGUAUCAGUACUGUUUUGUCUCAGUUUAUAGCACAGUAUGUGCACAGAUCAAACUUAAGACCAUAGUGAUCAGUAUUAUUAAAAUCAUUAAUUAUUUGUAUGGUGACAAAAUUUAAUUUCAUGCAAUACCACAGCAAAACGUUUGCUAAUUUUCGCUUUUAAAAUUGUAAGUUUAAGGUUGGCAUAAAUUGUUUUUUUCUUUCAUAAAUCUAAAAAGUGAUUGGUCAUUAUAACUGCAAUAUCAUUUUAGUAUGACAAAGUUUAUAUUGUUUAUCGUACUUGUCAUGGCCCAUAACUCCUCCAUAUUACUUGUGUUUUGUCCUUUUUCAUUUCACUGAAGAAUAGGUAGAGGUAUUGCACAUCCAUUUUUUAGAAUCCUGAUUUUUAAAGUGUUGUAUGUAAGGUUUUAUCUCGGAAUUAUGUCUCAUCUAAAGGUGGGGAGAGGUAUUAAUUAUGCCUUCUCGUCUAUCCGCAUUAAGCCUGUCUGGCUUUAAGAGGACAAGCUGCUGGCCAGAUUUUGAUGAAACUUCACAGGACUGAUCAGUACCAAGCAUAGUUUUGUGCAUAUCGCUUGCAUGUUUCGUUUUGAUGCACUAAAUUGCAGCCAGAGCUAAAAAUAAAAAGAUCUUGUCGGCUUUCACAGGUUAAAAAUACUUAACAGAUUUUGAUGAAACCUUACAGGAGUGAUCAGUACCAAGUAUAUUUUUGCAUAUCACCGACAAUUUCCAUUUUGCUGCACAAAAUAGCCGCCACAGCUAAAGGUAUACAUAGGUGGGAGACAUGUUUUGUCAUAAAAAUACCUAAAACACCUUCCACUUUGUUAAUGAAAAAUGUAACAAACUUCUUACAGUUGCAAACUGUAAUAAUUUGACAUUAAAUGCACUAGUUCCAUAACUGCAUUUGGCUUUUUUCAUAAUUACUGCCCUUUUCUUACCAUAGCAAUAUUUUGUGUAACAUGUUACCUCAUUAAGCAUCAUAAGAUCAGAAAUUUCUAUGACUCAGAAAUGUUGGCCCUUUGUACUUGUCAUGAGUAUGUUUUCAGUAUUUUAAAUUGUCAUUACUUUUUGUUGUGCCAGUUUACGGAAAUGAAGACUUAGUUGUCCAAAUGGUGUGCCUGUGCCUGUCCUGAUUUGUUUGUCUGGACAAUAUAUUAUUGAUUAGUCUUCACGAAGCUUUGCAGGUUAAUUUCCUUAAGUUCCCUGUCAACUUUGAUAGUGGCAUGGUUACUUUAGAAACACUAAAGUGAUGUCACCACUGUACUAGUCAAACGUUUUGUAUUUCAGAUUUUAUAUCACAUUACAGGCUACUGGUCUUUAGCAGCCUCCAUAAAACUUUCAUAAAAGUUUCCAAAAAUGUUGUAUUUUGAUUUGAACUGGCAUUAUUCAAACAGUAAGAAGUAGUACUAUAAGGCAACAUUUGACCUCUUUUCCAGUGCUUUUUGAUUUUCUCUGUUACUUUGAAGUUGCCUUUUCCUAGAAAUUGAUUGGCUUAUUUUUGAUGAUCUUAUGUUUUUAAUCAAUUGUAGCUAUGCUCUUUAUCUCAUGAAAAUUUCCAUUUUUAUAUAAUUCAUCUUUUUUACUGUCAACAAAGUGCAAUACCACAUACUUAUCACUUUCAUUAACAUACCUGUACUAUUUUCAUAAAACAUUAUAUCAAUCAUUAUAUUUCAUAUAAACAGAAUUAAAUAAAUAUUUAAGAACAUCAGUGUUUUCUUUGAUUGCUACAUGAAACAGACCAUAGGUCAAUUUAGGGUCAAUUCUGACACUUUAUAUGCAAAUUGAUAAGGGAGAUAACUAGUACUGUCUUAAGUAACCAAUAUUUAGUUACACAGUUACCUUCCCUUUACACAGGCAGGACUAUUUGUUGUUGAUC
This is a long non-coding RNA of Mercenaria mercenaria, 2514 nucleotides long. RefSeq lists it as uncharacterized. The transcript is spliced from 5 exons. The record is from RefSeq and is a predicted model, not a curated record. NCBI's taxonomy places the organism in Eukaryota, Metazoa, Mollusca, Bivalvia, Venerida, Veneridae.